Selaginella moellendorffii is the source of this 200-nucleotide long non-coding RNA. RefSeq lists it as uncharacterized. The transcript has 4 exons. The record is from RefSeq and is a predicted model, not a curated record. Lineage: Eukaryota; Viridiplantae; Streptophyta; Lycopodiopsida; Selaginellales; Selaginellaceae.
CGAAAAUGUGUUUUGCAUGUAUGGUAUCAAUCUUAAGACUGAGGUUGGCUAUCAACUGUCUCCGAGUGGAAAGCCGUACCCAAUUAUCAAGGAUGUCAUCUAUGAAACAGAUGGAGGUUCGUUGCAGACAAGGUCAGGAUUAGAUGUCGAUGGAAAAGGUGGUGUUGCGAGUGGUGAUUCCACAGUACCAUACCAAAAAG